This is a long non-coding RNA of Vicia villosa (hairy vetch), 703 nucleotides long. RefSeq lists it as uncharacterized. The transcript has 3 exons. The record is from RefSeq and is a predicted model, not a curated record. NCBI's taxonomy places the organism in Eukaryota, Viridiplantae, Streptophyta, Magnoliopsida, Fabales, Fabaceae.
AAGGUGACUAAAGACCUGUUCCUAUGUUUAUAAGAAACCUGAUGGGUCCUUGUAUACAAGCUCAAGAGGAAGCUGGAAAUGCUUUUAAGAAGCCUGUGGGUCCUUGUACAAAGCCCAAGAGGAGGCUAAUCGAGGGUCCUUGUUAUAGCACAAGAGAAAGCUUAUGUAGUUUUGAACUUAUUUUGGCUCUAAGCAAAUGGGUAAGAGGUUUCACCGGGAAUAAUUCCUCUUUGGGUGGAUGUGUCCUAUUACUUUUGGAUUCUAAGGUUUUUGCCAAGAUGUUUCACCGGGAAUAAUUCAUCUUGGGGGUUUGAACUACAGAUCUCUAAUUAGGAAAGAGCCUUCACCGGGAAGACAUUCUCAAUCCUAGUAAUUUAAACAAAGACUGUAAAUUGAAAGCUUGUAAAGCCUAACCUGGAUGGAGUGGAGGCCAUUGAAGAAAAGAAGUGAAGAUGGACAAAGGUCACAUAGGUAUCUGAAGAGUUUCACCGGGAAUAAUGCCCUUCAAAUACCAGAAGAAUGUUUUUGAAAACAGAAAGAAGAUUUUGAAAAUACAGUUUUGAAAACAAGCUAAGAAGAGAAGGUUUUUGGGACUUACACUCUAUUAGAGGCCCACUUAAAAAUGAUUUACUGUUUAUGAAAACAGUUGAAGAAAAGAUUGAAAUGAUAUAAGGUUUUGUUGUUUGAAAACCUUAAUCAUAUG